GACGAACGCUGGCGGCGUGCUUAACACAUGCAAGUCGAACGAAGUGGCGAACGGGUGAGUAAUACGUGGGUAACCUGCCCUCCUUUUUGGGAUAAGCCUUGGAAACGUGGUCUAAUACCGAAUAAAGGGUGAUGGGCUCGCGGCCUCUCAGCUUGUUGGUGGGGUGAGGGCCUACCAAGGCGGGGACGGGUAGCCGGCCUGAGAGAGUGACCGGCCACAGUGGGACGGAGAUACGGCCCAGACUCCUACGGGAGGCAGCAGUGGGGGAUAUUGCACAAUGGACGAAAGCCUGAUGCAGCGACGCCGCGUGGGGGAUGAAGGCUUUCGGGUUGUAAACCUCUUUCAGCGGGGAGGCGUUACCCGCAGAAGAAGCACCGGCUAACUCCGUGCCAGCAGCCGCGGUAAUAC
RNAcentral lists this ribosomal RNA (408 nucleotides) under uncultured bacterium. RNAcentral describes it as "partial 16S ribosomal RNA". It matches the Rfam family "Bacterial small subunit ribosomal RNA", at positions 28 to 526 of the family's 1533-position model. The record is from RNAcentral.